GACGAACGCUGGCGGCGUGCUUAACACAUGCAAGUCGAGCGGUAAGGCCCUUUCGGGGGUACACGAGCGGCGAACGGGUGAGUAACACGUGGGUGACCUGCCCUCAGCUCUGGGAUAAGCCCGGGAAACUGGGUCUAAUACUGGAUAUGACUCCACGGUGCAUGCCGUGGGGUGGAAAGCCUUGUGCGGCUGAGGAUGGGCCCGCGGCCUAUCAGCUUGUUGGUGGGGUGAUGGCCUACCAAGGCGACGACGGGUAGCCGGCCUGAGAGGGCGACCGGCCACACUGGGACUGAGACACGGCCCAGACUCCUACGGGAGGCAGCAGUGGGGAAUCUUGCGCAACGGGCGAAAGCCUGACGCAGCGACGCCGCGUGAGGGAUGACGGCCU
This 388-nucleotide ribosomal RNA is filed under the name uncultured bacterium. Its description in RNAcentral is "bacterial SSU rRNA". It matches the Rfam family "Bacterial small subunit ribosomal RNA", at positions 28 to 417 of the family's 1533-position model. The record is from RNAcentral.